GGGCGCACUAACCUGGUCAACAACUACUUCCUCUAAGCUCACCUGCGUGGUUCACGUGACUCAGAGUGGAAAUGCUAGUUUAACCCUGAGAAGGACCAGGAGUGUUUCCACCGGGUUAAAUGUAUUUGAAAGCUCAGAAGAGGAAGGCGCCUCGUGGUUCUGCUGUGUUUGCUAAUGGUUUAUGCUUUAUCAGUUUCUCCAUUGAAACUGGAAGAUCCUGUGAUGAGUAGCCGAGCCCACCAUUGGACACUACAUGAGGUGCAGAGUUUUGGAUUUGGCGUGCAAGGACGGGGCGAGACGCAAACCCUGCAUGACGUCGCAACCACUUCCACACACGCACAACCUUGCAUCAUCCAAAAGCAGAAACUAAGACACCUUGGGCGCCUGAUCCGGACAACGGCG
This is a long non-coding RNA of Fundulus heteroclitus (mummichog), 402 nucleotides long. RefSeq lists it as uncharacterized. The transcript has 4 exons. NCBI's taxonomy places the organism in Eukaryota, Metazoa, Chordata, Actinopteri, Cyprinodontiformes, Fundulidae. The record is from RefSeq and is a predicted model, not a curated record.